RNAcentral lists this ribosomal RNA (406 nucleotides) under uncultured bacterium. Its description in RNAcentral is "partial 16S ribosomal RNA". It matches the Rfam family "Bacterial small subunit ribosomal RNA", at positions 30 to 526 of the family's 1533-position model. The record is from RNAcentral.
AUUGAACGCUGGCGGCAGGCCUAACACAUGCAAGUCGAACGAGUGGCGGACGUGUGAGUAAUGUAUGGGAAACUGCCUGAUGGAGGGGGAUAACUACUGGAAACGGUAGCUAAUACCGCAUACCGUCGGCUAUGCCCAGAUGGGAUUAGCUAGUAGGUGGGGUAAAGGCCAACUAAGGCGACGAUCCCUAGCUGGUCUGAGAGGAUGACCAGACACACUGGAACUGAGACACGGUCCAGAUUCCUACGGGAGGCAGCAGUGGGGAAUAUUGCACAAUGGGCGAAAGCCUGAUGCAGCCAUGCCGCGUGUAUGAAGAAGGCCUUCGGGUUGUAAAGUACUUUCAGCGGGGAGGCGUUACCCGCAGAAGAAGCACCGGCUAACUCCGUGCCAGCAGCCGCGGUAAUUC